RNAcentral lists this ribosomal RNA (458 nucleotides) under Theileria annulata. RNAcentral's name for it is "SSU rRNA". It matches the Rfam family "Eukaryotic small subunit ribosomal RNA", at positions 486 to 984 of the family's 1831-position model. Lineage: Eukaryota; Apicomplexa; Aconoidasida; Piroplasmida; Theileriidae. The record is from RNAcentral.
CGGGGCUUAAAGUCUUGUAAUUGGAAUGAUGGGAAUUUAAACCUCUUCCAGAGUAUCAAUUGGAGGGCAAGUCUGGUGCCAGCAGCCGCGGUAAUUCCAGCUCCAAUAGCGUAUAUUAAAAUUGUUGCAGUUAAAAAGCUCGUAGUUGAAUUUCUGCUGCAUUGCUUGUGUCCCUCUGGGGUCUGUGCAUGUGGCUUUUUUCGGACGGAGUUUCUUUGUCUGAAUGUUUACUUUGAGAAAAUUAGAGUGCUCAAAGCAGGCUUUCGCCUUGAAUAGUUUAGCAUGGAAUAAUAAAGUAGGACUUUGGUUCUAUUUUGUUGGUUUUAGGUACCAAAGUAAUGGUUAAUAAGAACAGUUGGGGGCAUUCGUAUUUAACUGUCAGAGGUGAAAUUCUUAGAUUUGUUAAAGACGAACUACUGCGAAAGCAUUUGCCAAGGAUGUUUUCAUUAAUCAAGAAC